UCCCCGACCAGCCCCAACGUCUUCCCGCUGAGCCUCUGCAGCACCCAGCCAGAUGGGAACGUGGUCGUCGCCUGCCUGGUCCAGGGCUUCUUCCCCCAGGAGCCGCUCAGUGUGACCUGGAGUGAAAGCGGACAGAACGUGACCGCCACAAACUUCCCACCCAGUCAGGAUGCCUCCGGGGGCCUGUACACCACGAGCAGCCAGCUGACCCUGCCGGCCACACAGUGUCUAGUCGGCAAAUCCGUGACAUGCCAUGUGAAGCACUACACGAAUCCCAGCCAGGAUGUGACUGUGCCCUGCAGAGGUUCCCCACCUCCCCCACCUCCCUCAUGCUGCCAGCCCCGACUGUCACUGCAGCGACCAGCCCUCGAGGACCUGCUCUUAGGUUCAGAAGCGAACCUCACGUGCACACUGACCGGCCUGAGAGAUGCCUCAGGUGUCACCUUCACCUGGACGCCCUCAAGUGGGAAGAACGCUGUUCAAGGACCAUCUGAGCGUGACCUCUGUGGCUGCUACAGCGUGUCCAGUAUCCUGCCCGGCUGUGCCGAGCCAUGGAAACAUGGGAAGACCUUCACCUGCACUGCUGCCCAGCCCGAGUCUGAGACCCAGCUAACUGCCACCCUCUCAAAAUCCGGAAACACGUUCCGGCCCGAGGUCCACCUGCUGCCGCCGCCGUCGGAAGAGCUGGCCCUGAACGAGCUGGUGACGCUGACGUGCCUGGCGCGCGGAUUCAGCCCCGAGGAUGUGCUGGUUCGCUGGCUGCACGGGUCACAGGAGCUGCCCCGUGAGAAGUACCUGACUUGGGCAUCCCAGCAGGAGCCCAGCCAGGGCACCACCACCUUCGCUGUGACCAGCAUACUGCGCGUGGCAGCCGAGGACUGGAAGAAGGGGGACACCUUCUCCUGCAUGGUGGGCCACGAGGCCCUGCCGCUGGCCUUCACACAGAAGACCAUCGACCGCCUGGCGGGUAAACCCACCCACGUCAAUGUGUCUGUGGUCAUGGCAGAGGUAGACGGCACCUGCUACUGA
Molecule: non-coding RNA, 1029 nt
Organism: Nomascus leucogenys (northern white-cheeked gibbon)
Lineage: Eukaryota; Metazoa; Chordata; Mammalia; Primates; Hylobatidae
Source: the annotation of a RefSeq genome assembly